GAUGAAGAACGCAGCAAAAUGCGAUAAGUAAUGUGAAUUGCAGAAUUCAGUGAAUCAUCGAAUCUUUGAACGCACAUUGCGCCCGCUGGUAUUCCGGCGGGCAUGCCUGUUCGAGCGUCAUUUCAACCCUCAAGCCCCCGGGUUUGGUGUUGGGGAUCGGCUCUGCCCUUCUGGGCGGUGCCGCCCCCGAAAUACAUUGGCGGUCUCGCUGCAGCCUCCAUUGCGUAGUAGCUAACACCUCGCAACUGGAACGCGGCGCGGCCAUGCCGUAAAACCCCAACUUCUGAAUGUUGACCUCGGAUCAGGUUGGAAUACCCGCUGAACUUAAGCAUAUCAAUAAGCGGAGGA
RNAcentral lists this unclassified non-coding RNA (348 nucleotides) under soil metagenome. RNAcentral's name for it is "partial contains 5.8S ribosomal RNA, internal transcribed spacer 2, and large subunit ribosomal RNA". The stretch from base 1 to 120 matches the Rfam family "5.8S ribosomal RNA", at positions 35 to 154 of the family's 154-position model. The record is from RNAcentral.